GAUGAACGCUGGCGGCGUGCCUAAUACAUGCAAGUCGAGCGAACAGACGAGAGUGCUUGCACUCUCUGACGUUAGCGGCGGACGGGUGAGUAACACGUGGGUAACCUACCUAUAAGACUGGGAUAACUUCGGGAAACCGGAGCUAAUACCGGAUAAUAUUUAGCUUCGCAUGAAGCAAUAGUGAAAGACGGUUCUGCUGUCACUUAUAGAUGGACCCGCGGUGUAUUAGCUAGUUGGUGAGGUAACGGCUCACCAAGGCAACGGUACAUAGCCGACCUGAGAGGGUGAUCGGCCACACUGGGACUGAGACACGGCCCAGACUCCUACGGGAGGCAGCAGUAGGGAAUCUUCCGCAAUGGACGAAAGUCUGACGGAGCAAUGCCGCGUGAGUGAAGAAGGUUUUCGGAUCGUAAAACUCUGUUGUAAGGGAAGAACAAGUACGUUAGUAACUGAACGUACCUUGACGGUACCUUACCAGAAAGCCACGGCUAACUACGUG
This 499-nucleotide ribosomal RNA is filed under the name uncultured bacterium. Its description in RNAcentral is "partial 16S ribosomal RNA". It matches the Rfam family "Bacterial small subunit ribosomal RNA", at positions 28 to 507 of the family's 1533-position model. The record is from RNAcentral.